AGCGAACGCUGGCGGCAGGCUUAACACAUGCAAGUCGAGCGGGCGUAGCAAUACGUCAGCGGCAGACGGGUGAGUAACGCGUGGGAACGUACCUUUUGGUUCGGAACAACACAGGGAAACUUGUGCUAAUACCGGAUAAGCCCUUACGGGGAAAGAUUUAUCGCCGCAAGAUCGGCCCGCGUCUGAUUGGCUAGCUGUUACGGUAACGGCUCCCCAAGGCGCCGAUCAGUAGCUGGUCAGAGAGGAUGAGCAGCCACAUUGGGACUGAGACACGGCCCAAACUCUUACGGGAGGCAGGAGUGGGGAAUAUUGGACAAUGGGGGCAACCCUGAUCCAGCCAUGCCGCGUGAGUGAUGAAGGCCGUAGGGUUGUAAAGCUCUUUUGUGCGGGAAGAUAAUGACGGUACCGAAAGAAUAAGCCCCGGCUAACUUCGUG
This 435-nucleotide ribosomal RNA is filed under the name uncultured bacterium. Its description in RNAcentral is "partial 16S ribosomal RNA". It matches the Rfam family "Bacterial small subunit ribosomal RNA", at positions 29 to 507 of the family's 1533-position model. The record is from RNAcentral.